GCCAAAAUACUAGAGUAUUGCAGUAUGCAAUGAUACCUUUUAGAUUGAUCAUUAUUGCUUCUGACCUAAGGAAGAGAGAAAAACUCUCGAAAGCUUGUCUUUGAAAUAUUACGUUAGUCCAAUAAAAAAGGUAUCAUUGCAUAUGGCAAUACUCUGGUAUUUUGGC
This is a non-coding RNA of Pelobates cultripes (western spadefoot toad), 166 nucleotides long. NCBI's taxonomy places the organism in Eukaryota, Metazoa, Chordata, Amphibia, Anura, Pelobatidae. The record is from the annotation of a GenBank genome assembly.